Non-coding RNA from Paramuricea clavata, 2868 nucleotides. The record is from the annotation of a GenBank genome assembly. NCBI's taxonomy places the organism in Eukaryota, Metazoa, Cnidaria, Anthozoa, Malacalcyonacea, Plexauridae.
GCGAAAAUUAACUUGCCAUCCGUUUGCGCGGUAAGCGGAAAAGCAAAAAGUAAGCGGAAACCGCUUUGACGUCACAAAAUAAUUUAUGCGUUUUGACGCCAGAUUUGUAAGAAAGGAAAGGUACUGACCAGUAACAGUCACAUCCGUAUUUGACCAAAUACACUGCUUCAGCGCUUUAUAAUUGAAAUUAUUAACUUGAAUUCUGGCAAAGAACUUAAUGUUAACAUGCACUCGCUGAUCAGGGAAAUUUGUUGAAAUUAACCAAGACAUGCAAAGGCGGGAUUUUUAAGACUUGGAUGGUUAUAGACAUUUUGACGAAUAGACUUCAGAAUAUCUUUCAGAAGUCUGAAAUUCUCAUUUAGCUAAAUACGAUUUUAGGAAAUACGUAAUAGGGCUAGGCCGUUUGCUGUGACCUCGAAAAGUGCCAAAAAACGAUUUUCAUUCAUUAAGCAUGUCUUGGAACUGGAAUAUUUUUAUGGGAACUAACACUUUCGAACACGCUGAGUUCAAAUCCGAAAACUUCCCGCGCCGUAGACCCGCAGUUUUCUCACAAACUGCUAUUUUAUCUUCACUAAUUUCACGUGACAAAAUGUUUCGUUGUUCAACGACACGGAUGGAUGAAGACACACGAUUGCAUAACUCAAAAUGACUAAUUCCUAUGAACCAGUCUCUACAUUGAACAGAAGACCGUUUUGCUAAGUUUAUAUGUAAUUUUAAGCGCGUUGGACGUAAACAACAUAUCUUGUCUACAAACUUUGGGAAGGUACCAAUAUCGCUAUGUAAAUCCUCAGUUCUGGCUGUAUAGCUAUCUCUAUAAAAUCACAAGGACGUCAAUGUUAAGUCGUUGGCCUAUAUCUCUGGGAUGAGAAAUUUUUCCUCACAUGCGAUCAAAAUGUUUUAUACAACGAUGUAAAACGGUAAUCUUAUGGAAUGGGUCAGCAUUUACAUUUCCAACACCUGACAGUUUCUGAAAUAUAACUCAAGAGGUAACUUUAUUAUCAUUGCAUUUGAACUAUUAUAUCAAUUGGUGUUAUUCUGAAAUCACCAAAUGAAGAGCUUAUGGCGUUAUGCACACAUUUCUCCACUUCGUCGUAUAAAGUUUACAGCAGGUUUUAUACCUUGGCACUGAUCUUUGUCUUUGAUGUGAACAUAGUUAUUCUCCUAGUUUAUUAAGGUUAUUACACUUGACGCUCAAUUUUUGGUACGGCAGGGUAUCCGUACCACUUUUUUGGUCCUUGGACUACCUAUUUAGGUAGUCCAAGAACCAAAAUUGACUGAGCGUAGUGUAAACAGAGCUUUUAAGAUUAAUCCUGUCGUAAGUCUUCUAGCAGCAACCAAUCGACAAUAUUUCACAUUUUAGCGUUGUCUUUGCCGUUACGUUGGCUUCGCAUUACUUUCGCUUGAUCGCGUUAAAAUAGUUAUUUUUCAGGCCAGUGACAUCGCCAAAAGACUUAGCAUUAACUUCCUUGUGAUUUUACAUACUUUAAUUUUACAUACAUGAUUUUACGAGAUAUCGCUAGAACUGAGGAUUUUAGAAAGCGUUAUCUGUACCUUCUCAUGUUCUCAAAGUUGUAGAUAUGUUGUCAGUUUAUACGUCCAACACGCAUAUAAGAUUACAGUAAUAACAUAACUCAAAUUAAUAGUGAUUCGAGCAAAACGGUCUUUUGUUAAAACUAGGAAGACUGGUUAAUAGAAAUUGGUCGUUUUGAGUGAUAUAAUCGUGUGUCGUUAUCGAUCCGUGUCGUUGAACACGGUUAAUAACAAUGAAAAUAUCGUUGUUGUGAAAUUAGCGAAGAUAAAAUAGCAGUGUGUGAGAUGAAACUGCGUGUCUACGGGGCGAAAAGUUUUCGGAUUUGAACCAGUAUAAUGAGCGUGCUAGCUUUAACGUUCCAAGUCAUGCUUAAUGAAAGUGAACUAAAUCGGGACGCUUGCAUACAUCAAACAGCAUAUAAGAAUAUAUAGGCGACACGAAAUUUCAGUGAAAUGGGAGAAUCUUAACUGCAAGGAAGUGAUCAAACGCCGGACGACGCUCGCACAGUCGCACUCAACGUACGAUGUUAAAAAUGAAGCGCAUCCAUACAGAAUUGAUUCUAUAUAGUACGCACAUCCCGUGAGUGAGAACCAGUUUAUGACGUUAUCCAUGUUCAAGAGUUACUGCCGAUAUUCUAAAAAAACACAAAUUAAAGCUGAUUCCGACACAAUCUUAAAAUAUCACAGAAAGGCGCGAAAAAUAAAAUAAAACUUCUUAUAAUCAAGUAUAUUGCAAUCGUGCUUUUAAAUAAAGAGUAUUUAUUUCGGUGACAGUAUAGGUGUAUUUAUUGGUGUUAAAAUUAGCAGCUAUUUUUCCAUUUUGCGCAAACAAAGUUUCAAAGGUUUUUAAAAGUAUAACUGACUAACUGUCCCUCUUCCGCUCCCAUGACUGGUUCGUUAACUCUCGGAUGUAACUGUCAUUGGUUUAUUUGGUAUAUUCUGUGCAAAUGCAAAACCAUAGUAAAACAUUGGAAUACAGCUUUUGUAUUUUUCGUCGAUAGUGUUUACUUUGUGUUGUAUUAAUAACUAGAGGGCACUCAGAGACUGCAUACCUCCGCCCACAUUAAAUUUCGGUCGUGUGAAAUGCAACUAAGACAAUAGAUAAUUAGGGCUGAAGCUUAAUGAGAUUUAUCAUCUCAUUGUCUUCUUAGUACUGCGUGCAUACAUUAUACACGUCCUAAUUACGCAUUCAGUGAGUUCUUUUUAAUUGACUGGGAUAAGCAAGACAAAAUUUUGUUCAUUUCUCGUUCAAUUUUUAACUAAAUUCAACCAAAUUUUAACCAGUUCUUCCUUAGCCGAUGGGAAAUGCAUUCAAAAAAUUUCGUAUGAAUAUGUUUG